UACGUAGGGUGCAAGCGUUGUCCGGAAUUAUUGGGCGUAAAGAGCUCGUAGGCGGUCUGUCGCGUCGAAUGUGAAAACCCGGGGCUCAACCCCGGGCCUGCAUUCGAUACGGGCAGACUAGAGUUCGGUAGGGGAGUCUGGAAUUCCUGGUGUAGCGGUGAAAUGCGCAGAUAUCAGGAGGAACACCGGUGGCGAAGGCGGGUCUCUGGGCCGUAACUGACGCUGAGGAGCGAAAGCGUGGGGAGCGAACAGG
Molecule: ribosomal RNA, 253 nt
Filed under: uncultured bacterium
Lineage: Bacteria
Description: partial 16S ribosomal RNA
Rfam family: Bacterial small subunit ribosomal RNA
Source: RNAcentral